GACGUAGAGCGCGAGCGUUGUCCGGAUUUAUUGGGCGUAAAGAGCUCGUAGGCGGCUUGUCGCGUCGUCCGUGAAAACUUGGGGCUCAACCCCAAGCUUGCGGUCGAUACGGGCAGGCUAGAGUUCGGUAGGGGAGACUGGAAUUCCUGGUGUAGCGGUGAAAUGCGCAGAUAUCAGGAGGAACACCGGUGGCGAAGGCGGGUCUCUGGGCCGAUACUGACGCUGAGGAGCGAAAGCGUGGGGAGCGAACAGG
Molecule: ribosomal RNA, 253 nt
Filed under: uncultured bacterium
Lineage: Bacteria
Description: partial 16S ribosomal RNA
Rfam family: Bacterial small subunit ribosomal RNA
Source: RNAcentral